Molecule: ribosomal RNA, 448 nt
Filed under: uncultured bacterium
Lineage: Bacteria
Description: bacterial SSU rRNA
Rfam family: Bacterial small subunit ribosomal RNA
Source: RNAcentral
UCGGGAAUUUUGGGCAAUGGGGGAAACCCUGACCCAGCAACGCCGCGUGAAGGAUGAAGUAUUUCGGUAUGUAAACUUCGAAAGAAUAGGAAGAAUAAAUGACGGUACUAUUUUAUAAGGUCCGGCUAACUACGUGCCAGCAGCCGCGGUAAUACGUAGGGACCAAGCGUUGUUCGGAUUUACUGGGCAUAAAGCGCACGUAGGCGGCUCGUUUAGUCAGACGUGAAAUCCCCCGGCUCAACCGGGGAAUGGCAUCUGAUACUGGCGGGCUCGAGGUCGAUAGGGGUGAGCGGAACUCCAGGUGGAGCGGUGAAAUGCGUAGAUAUCUGGAGGAACACCGGUGGCGAAAGCGGCUCACUAGGCCGACACUGACGCUAAGGUGCGAAAGCUAGGGUAGCAAACGGGAUUAGAUACCCUUGUAGUCCCUGAGCGGGCUGGCAAGGCGCAU